Molecule: unclassified non-coding RNA, 148 nt
Organism: Macaca fascicularis (crab-eating macaque)
Lineage: Eukaryota; Metazoa; Chordata; Mammalia; Primates; Cercopithecidae
Rfam family: Metazoan signal recognition particle RNA
About the family: The signal recognition particle (SRP) is a universally conserved ribonucleoprotein. It is involved in the co-translational targeting of proteins to membranes. The eukaryotic SRP consists of a 300-nucleotide 7S RNA and six proteins: SRPs 72, 68, 54, 19, 14, and 9.
Source: Ensembl
GCUGGGCGUGGUGGUGCACGCCUGUAAUCCCAGCUACUCAGGAGGCUGAGGCAGGAGAAUCGCUUGAACCCAGGAGGUGGAGGUUGCAGUGAGCUGAGAUCACACCACUGCACUCCAGCCUGAGUGACAGAGCGAGACUCUGUCUCAG